UACGUAGGGUGCAAGCGUUGUCCGGAAUUAUUGGGCGUAAAGAGCUCGUAGGCGGUUUGUCGCGUCUGCUGUGAAAAUCCAGGGCUUAACCCUGGACCUGCAGUGGGUACGGGCAGACUGGAGUGCGGUAGGGGGAGAUCGGAAUUCCUGGUGUAGCGGUGAAAUGCGCAGAUAUCAGGAGGAACACCGGUGGCGAAGGCGGAUCUCUGGGCCGUAACUGACGCUGAGGAGCGAAAGCAUGGGGAGCGAACAGG
RNAcentral lists this ribosomal RNA (254 nucleotides) under uncultured bacterium. Its description in RNAcentral is "partial 16S ribosomal RNA". It matches the Rfam family "Bacterial small subunit ribosomal RNA", at positions 524 to 776 of the family's 1533-position model. The record is from RNAcentral.